CGACGGCUUGGCUACAGCACGGCGGAGUGUAGCUUGCAAAACAAAGACUUCACUCAAACCUCGCCUUAAGUCGGCCAUCUUGAAACUCUGGCUUCCGGCUACACUGCGUUGCACAGGGACCGCUAGCUUUCGCUAACCGCUAGAUUCGCUAGGCUAGCUUCGCUCGAUUCGCUACGUGCUAUGCAACACGCCACUGUACACCUGUGGCUGGCACAGAACGGUGACCUGAAGUUCACGAGUCGACACAGCGAGUGGCCGAGCCUCACCUGCUCAAUGAGUAAUACGUGUUUUGUUUUUGUUUUGUUUGUUUGUUUUGUUUUUUGUUUUUUUGUUUUUUGUUUUGUUGGUUUUUUUUUUUUUUUGUUUUUUUUUUUUUUUGUAAGAGAGCUAGAAGAGAAAAGGAGGAACAGGGUAAGACAAAAUAAUUAACCGCCUCCAGGCAGAGGUGGACUUGCCAGGGAGACCCGGCAAGUGGCGACACAAGGUGUGGAGUGGAGGCUGCGUCCUCCUGUACAGCUGUUACGUUGUCAGUACUUCCACACCUGAGCGAGUGACAAGAACCGUAUGCUCAAACUGAGCUGACCAGCUGUUGUCUGUAGUUACAGCUGUCCACCCAUCCUGUAAGAUCCGUAUCUCAGGGGAUCCCAUGCAGAUGAUUGGCUCUGCAGCAUAAUCAAUAUUUAUGUUAUCCAAGACAGGUUGUAUCCUGGCUUUUGUGGGUACCAAGGCCGGCGUCAGCAAGAUUGUAUUAAACGCUCACUCGCCAAGCCAUUACCAAAGCAAAGACCACGAAUGCCCUCGUAACUGCCAGGUGAAAAUCAGUUGCCUUAAAUUUGCACGCUUGCCAGACAUAGCAGUAGCUACUCGUUGUCACUGACAACUAUUUUCUUGUGUAAUUACUAUGCAUGUAUUCCAAAAGUAGACCUUUUGAUUAAUCAAAUUGAAACAGUAACCUCCCCAAUUAUUAAGUACUGUCACGUACAAAAUCCACACAUUAGGGAUGUCAGUCAUGAAGGCUAACCCACUGCUUUUCAGUAUUAUACAUCAGUGCAACUCUCAUGUCCUAGCCAUAUGCAGCUGAAAACAUACAAUUUCUUUUCUGAAACUGCACAAUACUUUCAACACAGAAUUUUGAUACAACAAAUUUUUCAAUAUUUUUUUUCACCAAAGCCCUAGUUGAUCCUAACUAGAGCUCAAUGUCAUGACAAAGCAACAAAAGGACUCAAUGUAACAAAUUUUUCAACGCAACAAAGUUCAAUUCCAAAGUAUUCAAUAAAAUAACAUUUCAUUACAAUUGUCUUGAGAAUGCCAGGAAUCAGACAUUCAUUUAAGCAACUGAUAGUUUGUUCUUAACGUUUUUGAGGUCCGAUCAGGUUAUUAUAGGUGGUGUGCCCACUUUGGAAGUCAACUGUAUCUAAAGUAGGAGGCUUUGCGCUUGUUUCCUUUCUGCAAAUGGCUACAUGUGAUAUAUUUUUCAAUUGUCUUUUUUUUUUUGAAAUGCACUCCUUGUGAUUUCCUUAAUUCAAAGUGUAUCUCAAUCUUUUCAGAGUGUUGUUCUAUUUACAUUAAUUUACACCUUAUAAUGUUUAUGAUGUAUUCAUAGUAAUUGCAAAAUGAGGGAAAUCAGAACAUGUCUGUAAUGUUUGGCUGGACAUUUCCUUAAAAGUAGUUAUCAUGGUAGUAAAAAAUUGGUACAGGCAUUCCAGUUGGACAGAGGAACCAUAUCUAAUUAUUGUAGCUAUUCUUAAAAACCAAUGUUCGAAAGAAUGCUUCACAUAAGGAUUCUUACACUACCUUCAACAUACAGACAUUCCUCACUUAACAAAAGACUACUGUUGCACAACUUGGUUAAUAAACAAACUGGCUGACCAAUAUUUCAGGCAGAAUGUCAUUGGGUUUGCAUGAACCAUCUUCAGAUAUUGUUUUAAUGUUACAUUUCCAUCACUAAUAAUAUUUUUAAUAUAUGUUCGUACAGAACUGCACUGUGAUGAACCUGAAGCCCUUUUUAAUGACCAAAUUGUCUAGAAGCGAAAGAAGAAAUCAGAACAGAAUUAUAACUGGACACCUGUUGCUUGGGAACCAGAUAACCUAGCCUGGAUGAAAAUGACUAGAGACUGUUGUCAGAGCUCUUCCUAACAGGUCUAACAUUGCAUGGAAGACAGUGGCGUAGCUUCCAUCUAAAAUUCCCCAGAUCCCCAAUCUAGAAACUCCCAAAGCUGCUCCUAUAUACCUCACUUCAUUCAAAAAUCUAUCAAAUCAGGCUUGAGUGAUGAGGACAAGCCAUGUGAUAAUGAUGAUCAAUAGCGUUUUUUAAACCUUCGCCAGAGAAUGUAAGACAACUUCUCCUGUUCUAGUGUAACUACCAACAAUAGGAAUGACCUUUGUGUCUGGAAGAUGCUCUGCUGACAACUUCCUCCAAAGAUCUGUCCAAACAAAAAUUACAGACUUUUUUUGUAAAACAGUAAGUUCUGGUUUCUCUUACUUUGCAACCAAUGCGAUAUAUGCCACUUUUAUGACUUGCUCUUUGUAAAAUAGAAUAAUUUCAAUUUAAAAUUGCGAAUAUUUUUGUUGUUUCAAAAUGAGUGAGAAAGCGAUGCUUUCAAACUUCUCACUCUUGUGUUUCCAUUUAGUUUUGUGUACUUUUGAAUGCUAAAGAAGAUUAAAGUACAAAAUGCUCACUGAAUGUAAAGAAUCUUAAUGUCAUGAAAUAUUCAAUAAAAACUAAAAAAAAGUUUUCUGUAGUCAGAAUUGAUUUGUUACAUGAAUAUCAAUGUACUUGUCCUU
This 2784-nucleotide long non-coding RNA is filed under the name Pomacea canaliculata. RNAcentral's name for it is "uncharacterized LOC112554097, transcript variant X6". The record is from RNAcentral. Lineage: Eukaryota; Metazoa; Mollusca; Gastropoda; Architaenioglossa; Ampullariidae.